ACAGAUGCUAGGAGAACAGAAAGAAUAGCUUCAGGACCAUUUCAAUCAUUUCCUGAAAGAAGACCUUAUUAUCAAAAGUGUUACAUUUUAUUAUUGGCAACCUCCAAAAUUGCAGUUGUCUUCGGCUCUUCUUUGAACAGGUAAGGGACUGUAACACCUCUCUGAUUCAACAGGGCUGUACUUUCAUCACUGUGAUUUCAGGAUAUUUGGUCUCUCACUCGAACAGUCAAGACCUAUCAUCAAAGAGCUUCAUAUGAGUUUUUGUGGUUUUACUGAUAACAAAUAUACUCAGAUCUACA
Molecule: long non-coding RNA, 299 nt
Filed under: Gallus gallus (chicken)
Lineage: Eukaryota; Metazoa; Chordata; Aves; Galliformes; Phasianidae
Source: RNAcentral